RNAcentral lists this ribosomal RNA (399 nucleotides) under uncultured bacterium. Its description in RNAcentral is "bacterial SSU rRNA". It matches the Rfam family "Bacterial small subunit ribosomal RNA", at positions 359 to 775 of the family's 1533-position model. The record is from RNAcentral.
GAAUAUUGCACAAUGGAGGAAACUCUGAUGCAGCAACGCCGCGUGGAGGAUGACGCAUUUCGGUGUGUAAACUCCUUUUAUAUGUCAAGAAAAUGACGGUAGCAUAUGAAUAAGCACCGGCUAACUCCGUGCCAGCAGCCGCGGUAAUACGGAGGGUGCAAGCGUUACUCGGAAUCACUGGGCGUAAAGGACGCGUAGGCGGGUUGUCAAGUCAGGUGUGAAAUCCUACAGCUUAACUGUAGAACUGCACUUGAAACUGGCAACCUAGAGUAUGGGAGGGGGAGAUGGAAUUAGUGGUGUAGGGGUAAAAUCCGUAGAUAUCACUAGGAAUACCUAAAGCGAAGGCGAUCUCCUGGAACAUUACUGACGCUAAGGCGUGAAAGCGUGGGGAGCAAACAG